Molecule: ribosomal RNA, 429 nt
Filed under: Fusobacteriota bacterium
Lineage: Bacteria; Fusobacteriati; Fusobacteriota
Description: Fusobacteria bacterium partial 16S ribosomal RNA
Rfam family: Bacterial small subunit ribosomal RNA
Source: RNAcentral
UGGGGAAUCUUCCGCAAUGGACGAAAGUCUGACGGAGCAACGCCGCGUGAGUGAAGACGGCCUUCGGGUUGUAAAGCUCUGUGAUCCGGGACGAAAGAGCCUGAGGUAAAUAGCCUAAGGAAGUGACGGUACCGGAAAAGCAAGCCACGGCUAACUACGUGCCAGCAGCCGCGGUAAUACGUAGGUGGCAAGCGUUGUCCGGAAUUAUUGGGCGUAAAGCGCGCGCAGGCGGCUUCCUAAGUCCAUCUUAAAAGUGCGGGGCGUAACCCCGGGAUGGGAUGGAAACUGGGAAGGUGGAGGAUAGGAGAGGAAAGUGGAAGUCCGAGGGGAGGGGUGAAAUGCGGAGAGAUUAGGAAGAACACCGGGGGCGAAGGCGACGUUCUGGGCGAAAACUGACGCUGAGGCGCGAAAGCGUGGGGAGCAAACAGG